UACGGUAGGUGGCAAGCGUUGUCCGGAAUUAUUGGGCGUAAAGCGCGCGCAGGUGGUUCCUUAAGUCUGAUGUGAAAGCCCACGGCUCAACCGUGGAGGGUCAUUGGAAACUGGGGAACUUGAGUGCAGAAGAGGAAAGUGGAAUUCCAAGUGUAGCGGUGAAAUGCGUAGAGAUUUGGAGGAACACCAGUGGCGAAGGCGACUUUCUGGUCUGUAACUGACACUGAGGCGCGAAAGCGUGGGGAGCAAACAGG
Molecule: ribosomal RNA, 254 nt
Filed under: uncultured bacterium
Lineage: Bacteria
Description: partial 16S ribosomal RNA
Rfam family: Bacterial small subunit ribosomal RNA
Source: RNAcentral